GGUUUUAUGUUCCACCCCGCCCAUAUUACAUCAUUCAUCUUCUCCCUCUUCUCAUCUGUUUUCAACAUUGAGCUUAUCAACUUAGGCAUCCCCAACCAAAACAAGUUGGGCGACCGAACUGGAACCACAAUAUUUGUCCCAGAACCAUCACUGUUAGCAAACGCUGAAGAAACUGGUAACAACAACACUACUGAAUCCUUCAAAGACUUUAACGAAACACCAUAGUCCGAAGCGUUAUUU
Molecule: unclassified non-coding RNA, 240 nt
Filed under: Hevea brasiliensis (rubber tree)
Lineage: Eukaryota; Viridiplantae; Streptophyta; Magnoliopsida; Malpighiales; Euphorbiaceae
Source: RNAcentral